GAUGAACGCUGGCGGCGUGCUUAACACAUGCAAGUCGAACGAUUAAACUGGCUUCGGCCAGAUAUAGAGUGGCGAACGGGUGAGUAACACGUGACCAACCUGCCCCGCGCUCCGGGACAACCGCUGGAAACGGCGGCUAAUACCGGAUGCUCCGGGGAGGCCCCAUGGCCUCCCCGGGAAAGCCUUAACGGCGCGGGAUGGGGUCGCGGCCCAUUAGGUAGACGGCGGGGUAACGGCCCACCGUGCCCGCGAUGGGUAGCCGGACUGAGAGGUCGACCGGCCACAUUGGGACUGAGAUACGGCCCAGACUCCUACGGGAGGCAGCAGUGGGGAAUUUUGCGCAAUGGGGGCAACCCUGACGCAGCAACGCCGCGUGCGGGACGAAGGCCUUCGGGUUGUAAACCGCUUUCAGCAGGGAAGACUUUGACGGUACCUGCAGA
Molecule: ribosomal RNA, 440 nt
Filed under: uncultured bacterium
Lineage: Bacteria
Description: bacterial SSU rRNA
Rfam family: Bacterial small subunit ribosomal RNA
Source: RNAcentral